Molecule: transfer RNA, 76 nt
Filed under: Actinoplanes derwentensis
Lineage: Bacteria; Bacillati; Actinomycetota; Actinomycetes; Micromonosporales; Micromonosporaceae
Description: tRNA_Ala_GGC
Rfam family: tRNA
About the family: Transfer RNA (tRNA) molecules are approximately 80 nucleotides in length. Their secondary structure includes four short double-helical elements and three loops (D, anti-codon, and T loops).
Source: RNAcentral
GGGCUCGUAGCGCAGCAGGUAGCGCGCCGGUUCGGCAUACCGGAGGCCGGCGGUUCAAACCCGCCCGGGUCCACCU